RNAcentral lists this ribosomal RNA (307 nucleotides) under uncultured eukaryote. Its description in RNAcentral is "partial 18S ribosomal RNA". It matches the Rfam family "Eukaryotic small subunit ribosomal RNA", at positions 1470 to 1796 of the family's 1831-position model. The record is from RNAcentral.
UCCUUAGACGUUCUGGGCCGCACGCGCGCUACACUGACACAGGCAACGAGCUUUCCUUUACCGAAAGGUAUGGGUAAUCUUUUGAAACUGUGUCGUGCUGGGGAUAGAUCCUUGCAAUUUUUGAUCUUAAACGAGGAAUUCCUAGUAAGCGCGAGUCAUCAACUCGCGUUGAUUACGUCCCUGCCCUUUGUACACACCGCCCGUCGCUACUACCGAUUGAAUGGCUUAGUGAGGCCUCAGGAUCCGCGCUUAAUGUGUGGAGAAUUUGGACAAACUACGUCAUUUAGAGGAAGUAAAAGUCGUAACA